Molecule: non-coding RNA, 83 nt
Organism: Hordeum vulgare subsp. vulgare (domesticated barley)
Lineage: Eukaryota; Viridiplantae; Streptophyta; Magnoliopsida; Poales; Poaceae
Source: Rfam
AAGCCAAUGAUGAUUAGCUUUUAUGUUGGAAUUACCGUCAGAUAGCCAAUGACGAUAUAUUUUGCGGCUUUCUGAAGUUUUAU